GAUGUACGCUGGCGGCGUGCCUAAUACAUGCAAGUCGAGCGAACAGACGAGGAGCUUGCUCCUCUGACGUUAGCGGCGGACGGGUGAGUAACACGUGGAUAACCUACCUAUAAGACUGGGAUAACUUCGGGAAACCGGAGCUAAUACCGGAUAAUAUAUUGAACCGCAUGGUUCAAUAGUGAAAGACGGUUUUGCUGUCACUUAUAGAUGGAUCCGCGCCGCAUUAGCUAGUUGGUAAGGUAACGGCUUACCAAGGCAACGAUGCGUAGCCGACCUGAGAGGGUGAUCGGCCACACUGGAACUGAGACACGGUCCAGACUCCUACGGGAGGCAGCAGUAGGGAAUCUUCCGCAAUGGGCGAAAGCCUGACGGAGCAACGCCGCGUGAGUGAUGAAGGUCUGCGGAUCGUAAAACUCUGUUAUUAGGGAAGAACAAAUGUGUAAGUAACUAUGCACGUCUUGACGGUACCUAAUCAGAAAGCCACGGCUAACUACGU
Molecule: ribosomal RNA, 496 nt
Filed under: uncultured bacterium
Lineage: Bacteria
Description: partial 16S ribosomal RNA
Rfam family: Bacterial small subunit ribosomal RNA
Source: RNAcentral